Meriones unguiculatus (Mongolian gerbil) is the source of this 741-nucleotide long non-coding RNA. RefSeq lists it as uncharacterized. The transcript is spliced from 3 exons. NCBI's taxonomy places the organism in Eukaryota, Metazoa, Chordata, Mammalia, Rodentia, Muridae. The record is from RefSeq and is a predicted model, not a curated record.
GGUGACUGAUAACUGAAUGACUGCUAGGGAAGUCUCCAGACCCAGGGUAUGGCCUGUGCCUAGGAGGAUUCAAAAACAGUCUUAGCAAACCGGAGACUGUGCCUGAGCCUGUCCUCGGCCUCAGUAACAAAGCCCUCCAAAAGGAAGAAAGAAAGAAAGAAAAUGGGGCGUAGCAAGGAUUCCAGACUGGAUUCCAUGACGUCACCCAAACUUGGAUGCCUGCACUCAUAAACAAAGGCUCUUGUGACAUGGCCCCUGGCCAGGCUAGCCACUCGGCUUAUGUGGGGGAGGCGGCUGAAGAGAGCAGCCCCCAUGUUGGCCUCCACCCUGUAUUCAGCCUCUGGAUUUAGCAGGCCUAUGCUUUGACAUGUGAUUCCCAGCUGUCGGCACUGUUCUGGAGGAGAUGUUUGGAAGCUUCUGACGGAAGGACCUUACUGGUGGAAGCAGUUCACUGAGAAUAUUCUCUGUGGCUCCUCCCAUUCUCACUUCCUGUUUCCUGGUCAGCCAACAUAGGAACAGCACCCGCUACAAGGUCCUGCUGCUCUCAAGAUGUGAGCUCUCAGCAUCCUGGGCAUAGCAUCAUGCCUUCUGCCUGCGGCCAUGUUUCUCCAUCACAGCGGACCCUUAGCCCUCUGCAACUGUAGGUCCAAAUAAACCCUUCCUACAGUAAGUUGUCUUAGUCAUGGUGUUUUUAUCACAGUAAUAGAAAAUUAAUAUAAGAGGUGGCAGAGACAGGCUAUG